This 106-nucleotide small nucleolar RNA is filed under the name Punica granatum (pomegranate). Its description in RNAcentral is "Plant small nucleolar RNA R71". It matches the Rfam family "Plant small nucleolar RNA R71". From Rfam's summary of the family: R71 is a member of the C/D box family of snoRNAs containing the C (UGAUGA) and D (CUGA) box motifs. The record is from Rfam by way of RNAcentral. Lineage: Eukaryota; Viridiplantae; Streptophyta; Magnoliopsida; Myrtales; Lythraceae.
AAUCUGUGAUGUGGACCUUUCUGAUUGCCUCUUUGAAUCUCUCCCACGCCUCAUAAAGUGAUUCACCACUAAACUUGGUGAAGUUAGUGAUUUCAUUCCUCAAUCU